Molecule: small nuclear RNA, 107 nt
Filed under: Anabas testudineus (climbing perch)
Lineage: Eukaryota; Metazoa; Chordata; Actinopteri; Anabantiformes; Anabantidae
Description: U5 spliceosomal RNA (ENSATEG00000026232.1)
Rfam family: U5 spliceosomal RNA
About the family: U5 RNA is a component of both types of known spliceosome. The precise function of this molecule is unknown, though it is known that the 5' loop is required for splice site selection and p220 binding, and that both the 3' stem-loop and the Sm site are important for Sm protein binding and cap methylation.
Source: Rfam by way of RNAcentral
CACUCUGUUUCUCUUCAGAUCGUAUAAAUCUUUCGCCUUUUACUAAGAUUCCGUGAGAGGAACAACAAGAGGUUAACGCAAUUUUUGAUGCCCUGCUUAUGUGGGGC